Lytechinus variegatus (green sea urchin) is the source of this 2507-nucleotide long non-coding RNA. RefSeq lists it as uncharacterized. NCBI's taxonomy places the organism in Eukaryota, Metazoa, Echinodermata, Echinoidea, Temnopleuroida, Toxopneustidae. The record is from RefSeq and is a predicted model, not a curated record. The transcript is spliced from 4 exons.
AAAUUUUAAGUAUAAUUUUGUCAAUAUCAAACGAAUAUUCCUUUAUUUUUUCAAAUUGGCAACUUGGUAAGUAAAUUUUUACAAGGGGACAACUUUCCCAUAGGCCAGUACUUAAUUAUCAGGGAUUUGUGGUUUUCUCUCAAGUAACCAUUCACCUGGGGUAAUAAGAAAAAAGAAAUAGUUUGAAAUAAAAGUUUUGAAAAAAUAAAAUUUGAGCCAUUUUAUGUAUUGGAGUACAUGGAAGAGUAGUCUUUGCCUUGCAUCACUAUGUCAUCACAUAUGCGGCCAAUUUGAAGUCUCCAAAAGUAUAGUGGUUACCAAUAUUUACAACUUUUAAAAAUUCAUAACUUCCCUCUGAUUUAUCUGAAACUGUUCAAACUUUCAGCUAUCAAAUUUUCUGAUUUUUCUUUUUUCCUCUAAAAACAAGAUUUUAUUUAGGUUGGAUUCUCCCUUAAAUAUCUUCUAUCAAAUCUUCCUCAAAAAUCCUUGGUGAGGAAGAUUAGCCUGUUCAUACUUUGGUAUUUCUCCCAAAAUCAAGUUGUGAUGAGAUCAUGCAAUUUUUGCUGGGGCUCUCACCCUCACACACACCUUUCAGGUUACUGGAACCAUAUCCUCCUCCUGUACUUCUACUCCAUAAGGACAGUCGCUGACAAUCCAUGAUCCAAUGACACAGAAGGCCGUCUGCAUUUGAAACCAACAAAUGCUCUCCUGUAUCUUGCUUAUGGCCUAGAACUGAUAAGACCCAAACAAAAGGUUAGACACUGGAUGGAUGACGCAAACUUCAAUGAACCAAGAUAUGCCAGACCAGCAUGGAGUACCAGAAUUCAUUUUCCGGCCUGUCCUCAAAAGGAAGGAGCUUAUAAAAACUGGCGGCAGAGACUACUGACUCAAAGGCAUAAAAGGCAAUCUGCAUUGAGCAGAAGCAUAUUCCUCUAGUAAACUACAAGGAGGAAGUGACAUAGCGUCCAAGAAAUUCAACAAGGGAGAUGCCCUAGAUGAGUUCCCAGCACUGACAAUUUAGUCAGUGCUGACAUCUUUAAUGAAAUACCCCCAAGAUACCAAGUUGAGACCGAGUGGUGUCACGCCAUGGAAGAGAUGGGGCUAGAAACCACUGAUGUCAGUAACUAAGGGGAACUAUUACAGGUGGGCAUAGCCAGCUUGGAACAACCAGGGCCAAGGCAGAAUCUGCCUGGGUCAUAUCCCAGCAAUCGAAAUUGGCUGGUCGAGCUGGAGCUGGAGCUCUCACACUCAAAGCCGGAUGCGAUUUUCUCUGAUAGGGACCAAUGCUGCUCUUCCACAGUUCCACUCCUUAUUCAGACACAAUGUGUCGAAACCUGAUGCCUGGGUCCUCACAGUCUAGGUGACAAGCAGGGUCCAGGAGAGUAAUUGAUGACCUCAAAAACAGAAUACCUUCUGCAUCAUCUUCACAUGAAAUGCCAGAGAUUGCCCUGAUGGAGUAGAAGAAAAGAGAAAAAUAUUAAGCCUGGUAACCCAUAGGGGCAUGAGGGUGAUAUGUAAAAUGAAUAUGGACCAGAGGUCUAAGUCAACAGAACCGAAGGAUUUUUGUUCCGGGGGGGGGGGGGGGGCAAAGUCAAGGUAAUCGGGACAAACAUGAUCUUACACUGGUGGAUUCAUAUGGGGGUGGGGAUGCACACCCCUUUUAGAUUGAAAGAUCAAUUUACGGAUAGCUUCAGUGAAGAAAAAGACCAUUUGGGUGACAAAGCAAUAUUUAAGUGGUUGUUUUCCAUUCUAAAAUUAUGUUUCAAAAUUGCUUAAAUAGAUCUUUAAGCAUUUUCAAUCUAUGAAAUUUGUUUUUAAUGUCCUGAAUUAGAAUUAUGAUUUUUGGCUAGAUUUAGUUAUAAAAUAGAAGUAUAACUGAAAGUGAUCAACACCCAAUGCCAUUACUAUGGUUUCCCACAUGUUUAGAAAAUCAAUUUUGCAAGUCUACCCCAAGAUGAACGUAUAUGGCAACUUUCAUGUGCACUAGCAAAAAAAAUACAAAAGGGAUCCUAAAUAAGGUUUCCCGGUUUUGGACAAUAUGUGGUUACCAUAUAUGGUGAAACAAUUUUUUUUUUCUUUGGACAAAUGCAAAAAUGUGUACUGCACGUCUUUAGCUCACAACAAAUGAGUAAGCCAAAUUUCAUUAGAAAUUAUUCAAAAACUAAUAAAGUUGUUUAAACUACAAGAUUUUUCCUUAAUUUUUCUCUCUAUAUGCUGUUACCAUUGCAAUACAUUAUCCAACACACACAAAGAAGUCUUGCACAUCUUUACAUAAAGACCAGUGGGCAUGUUAAUUUUAUCAGUAUUGGUUAAAAACUGAGAUUUUUACCUAAUUUUAACAAUAUAUUUUGAGCAUGGCAACAUACUUUCUGUCACAUGCGGAAAAUAUGUCUUGCAAAUAUAAAAUCAUUCUGAUGACAGCAAAAUCUAAUGGUUUUUUUUGUAUUUAGAUACUUUUUCAAACAUGAAUCAUUUAAUCGAUGAAAAAAAAUGAAUGUCCUGAACUA